Molecule: transfer RNA, 69 nt
Filed under: Halice sp. JL-2018
Lineage: Eukaryota; Metazoa; Arthropoda; Malacostraca; Amphipoda; Pardaliscidae
Description: tRNA-Lys
Source: RNAcentral
UUUUAGGUGACUGAAUUAAGUGUAAAUCUUUUAAAUUUAUUAUAGUGUUCAAUUUAGCACUUCUAAAAA